RNAcentral lists this ribosomal RNA (312 nucleotides) under uncultured bacterium. RNAcentral describes it as "bacterial SSU rRNA". It matches the Rfam family "Bacterial small subunit ribosomal RNA", at positions 28 to 334 of the family's 1533-position model. The record is from RNAcentral.
GACGAACGCUGGCGGCGUGCCUAAUACAUGCAAGUCGAACGAAGUACAAGAAGCUUGCUUCUUGUAACUGAGUGGCGAACGGGUGAGUAAUACAUAAGCAACCUGCCUUAAUGCCUGGGAUAACAGUUAGAAACGACUGCUAAUACCGCAUAAGCCCACGACCCGGCAUCGGGUUGAGGGAAAAGGAGCAAUCCGCUUUGAGAUGGCCUCGCGUCCGAUUAGCUAGUUGGUGAGGUAACGGCCCACCAAGGCAACGAUCGGUAGCCGGACUGAGAGGUUGAACGGCCACAUUGGGACUGAGACACGGCCCAG